Molecule: non-coding RNA, 96 nt
Organism: Mycena metata
Lineage: Eukaryota; Fungi; Basidiomycota; Agaricomycetes; Agaricales; Mycenaceae
Source: the annotation of a GenBank genome assembly
GGUCGAAUGGUGCAGUUGGUAGCACGUGCAGUUUCGUUGAGAACAGCUUUGUCAACUAUACACUGCACAGCCCUCGUUCAAAUCAAGGUUCAGCCC